GCUUGCUACUCUGCCGGCGAGCGGCGGACGGGUGAGUAAAGUCUGGGRAUCUGGCUUAUGGAGGGGGAUAACCAUUGGAAACGGUGGCUAAUACCGCAUGAUGUCGCAAGACCAAAGUGGGGGACCUUARGGCCUCACGCCAUGAGAUGAACCCAGAUGAGAUUAGCUAGUAGGUGCGGUAAUGGCGUACCUAGGCGACGAUCUCUAGCUGGUCUGAGAGGAUGACCAGCCACACUGGAACUGAGAGACGGUCCAGACUCCUACGGGAGGCAGCAGUGGGGAAUAUUGCACAAUGGGCGGAAGCCUGAUGCAGCCAUGCCGCGUGUGUGAAGAAGGCCUUAGGGUUGUAAAGCACUUUCAGCGGGGAGGAAGGCGGUAAGAGUAAUAUGCUUAUCRAUUGACGUUACCCGCAAAAGAAGCACCGGCUAACUCCGUGCCAGCAGCCGCGGUAAUACGGAGGGUGCGAGCGUUAAUCGGAAUAACUGGGCGUAAAGRGCAUGUAGGCGGUAAGUUAAGUCAGAUGUGAAAUCCCCGAGCUUAACUUGGGAACGGCAUUUGAGACUGGCUGGCUAGAGUUUUGUAGAGGGGGGUAGAAUUCCAGGUGUAGCGGUGAAAUGCGUAGAGAUCUGGAGGAAUACCGGUGGCGAAGGCGGCCCCCUGGACAAGGACUGACGCUGAGGUGCGAAAGCGUGGGUAGCAAACAGGAUUAGAUACCCUGGUAGUCCACGCUGUAAACGAUGUCGAUUUGGAGGUUGUGACCUAGUGUUAUGG
This 771-nucleotide ribosomal RNA is filed under the name Candidatus Regiella insecticola. Its description in RNAcentral is "bacterial SSU rRNA". It matches the Rfam family "Bacterial small subunit ribosomal RNA", at positions 72 to 842 of the family's 1533-position model. Lineage: Bacteria; Pseudomonadati; Pseudomonadota; Gammaproteobacteria; Enterobacterales; Enterobacteriaceae. The record is from RNAcentral.